GACUAACGGCUUGGCGGCGUGCCUAACACAUGCAAGUCGAACGGCCCCUUCGGGGUUAGUGGCAGACGGGUGAGUAACACGUUAGGUAAUGUGCCCUCUUGCCGGGGAUAUCUGUUGGAAACGGCAGUUAAUACCGGAUGGUCCAACUUUGAGGCAUCUCUUAAGUUGGUAAACUGAUUUAGGGUGAGAGGAGCAGCUUGCGGACCAUCAGCUAGUUGGUGAGGUAAUGGCCCACCAAGGCAACGACGGUUAGCCGGUCUGAGAGGAUGAUCGGCCACACUGGAACUGAGACACGGUCCAGACUCCUACGGGAGGCAGCAGUGAGGAAUAUUGCGCAAUGGGCGAAAGCCUGACGCAGCGACGCCGCGUGAGGGACGACGGCCUUCGGGUUGUAAACCUCUGUCAGUAGGGAAGAGAACGGACGGUACCUACUGAGGAAGCAUCGGCUUACUACGUG
RNAcentral lists this ribosomal RNA (457 nucleotides) under uncultured bacterium. RNAcentral's name for it is "bacterial SSU rRNA". It matches the Rfam family "Bacterial small subunit ribosomal RNA", at positions 37 to 507 of the family's 1533-position model. The record is from RNAcentral.